UACGUAGGGUGCAAGCGUUAAUCGGAAUUACUGGGCGUAAAGCGUGCGCAGGCGGUUCUAUAAGACAGAUGUGAAAUCCCCGGGCUCAACCUGGGAACUGCAUUUGUGACUGUAGAGCUGGAGUACGGCAGAGGGGGAUGGAAUUCCACGUGUAGCAGUGAAAUGCGUAGAGAUGUGGAGGAACACCGAUGGCGAAGGCAGCCCCCUGGGCUAACACUGACGCUCAUGCACGAAAGCGUGGGGAGCAAACAGG
Molecule: ribosomal RNA, 253 nt
Filed under: uncultured bacterium
Lineage: Bacteria
Description: partial 16S ribosomal RNA
Rfam family: Bacterial small subunit ribosomal RNA
Source: RNAcentral